This 524-nucleotide ribosomal RNA is filed under the name uncultured eukaryote. Its description in RNAcentral is "SSU rRNA". It matches the Rfam family "Eukaryotic small subunit ribosomal RNA", at positions 21 to 549 of the family's 1831-position model. The record is from RNAcentral.
UAGUCAUAUGCUUGUCUCAAAGAUUAAGCCAUGCAUGUCUAAGUAUAAAUGGAUUAUACAGUGAAACUGCGAAUGGCUCAUUAAAUCAGUUAUAGUUUAUUUGAUAAUACCUUUUACUUGGAUAACCGUAAUAAUUUUAGAGCUAAUACAUGCGUGAAAGUGCGACUUUUGUGGAAGCACUGUAUUUAUUAGAUACAAAACCAAUCGAGCUUGCUCGUUACCUUGGUGAUUCAUAAUAACUAAACGAAUCGUAUGACUUUAUGCCGACGAUGAUUCAUUCAAAUUUCUGCCCUAUCAACUUUCGAUGGUAAGGUAUUGGCUUACCAUGGUUACAACGGGUGACGGAGAAUUAGGGUUCGAUUCCGGAGAGGGAGCCUGAGAAACGGCUACCACUUCUACGGAGGGCAGCAGGCGCGCAAAUUACCCAAUCCUGACUCAGGGAGGUAGUGACGAAUAAUAACGAUACGUGACUUCGGUCUAGUAAUUGGAAUGAGUACAAUUUAAACCCCUUAAUGAAUUCCAUU